AUAAACGCUUGCGGCGUGCAUGAGACAUGCAAGUCGAACGAAGGAUCGGGCUUGCUCGAUCCUUAGUGGCGGACGGCUGAGUAACGCGUAGGUGACCUACCCCGAAGUGGGGAAUAACUGCCCGAAAGGGUGGCUAAUACCGCAUGUGGUCGCACGUUCAUUCGUGCGAGUAAAGCCGCAAGGCGCUUCGGGAGGGGCCUGCGUCCGAUUGGCUCGUUGGUGGGGUAAUGGCUUACCAAGGCGACGAGCGGUAGGUGGACUGUGAGGACGAUCACCCGGACUGGGACUGGGACACGACCCAGACGCGUGCGGGAGGCAGCGGACGGGAAUUUUGCGGAAUGGGGGAAACCCUGAAGCAGCGACGCCGCGUGAGGGAUGAAGGCCUUGGGGUUGUAAACCUCUUUUGUCAGGGACGAUGAUGACGGUACCUGGAGAAUAAGCCACGGCUAACUACGUG
This 457-nucleotide ribosomal RNA is filed under the name uncultured bacterium. RNAcentral describes it as "partial 16S ribosomal RNA". It matches the Rfam family "Bacterial small subunit ribosomal RNA", at positions 29 to 507 of the family's 1533-position model. The record is from RNAcentral.